UACGAAGGGUGCAAACGUUAUUCGGAAUCACUGGGCGUAAAGGGUGCGUAGAUGGUGUGUUAAGUUUGUUGUUAAAGGCUUUGGCCUAACUGAAGUAUUGCAAUGAAAACUGGCGUACUAGAGGGUGAGAGAGAGAAGUGGAAUUCCUGGAGUAGCGGUAAAAUGCGUGGAUCUCAGGAGGAACACCAAUGGCGAAGGCAGCUUCUUGGCUCAUUCCUGACAUUGAGGCACGAAAGCGUGGGGAGCAAACAGG
RNAcentral lists this ribosomal RNA (253 nucleotides) under uncultured bacterium. Its description in RNAcentral is "partial 16S ribosomal RNA". It matches the Rfam family "Bacterial small subunit ribosomal RNA", at positions 524 to 776 of the family's 1533-position model. The record is from RNAcentral.